UGGGGAAUAUUGCACAAUGGGCGAAAGCCUGAUGCAGCAACGCCGCGUGAGUGAUGAAGGUCUUCGGAUUGUAAAGCUCUGUCUUUUGGGACGAUAAUGACGGUACCAAAGGAGGAAGCCACGGCUAACUACGUGCCAGCAGCCGCGGUAAUACGUAGGUGGCGAGCGUUGUCCGGAUUUACUGGGCGUAAAGGGUGCGUAGGCGGAUGUUUAAGUGAGAUGUGAAAUACCCGGGCUUAACUUGGGUGCUGCAUUUCAAACUGGAUAUCUAGAGUGCAGGAGAGGAGAAUGGAAUUCCUAGUGUAGCGGUGAAAUGCGUAGAGAUUAGGAAGAACACCAGUGGCGAAGGCGAUUCUCUGGACUGUAACUGACGCUGAGGCACGAAAGCGUGGGUAGUAAACAGGAUUAGAUACCCUGGUAGUCCACGCC
RNAcentral lists this ribosomal RNA (429 nucleotides) under uncultured bacterium. RNAcentral's name for it is "partial 16S ribosomal RNA". It matches the Rfam family "Bacterial small subunit ribosomal RNA", at positions 355 to 801 of the family's 1533-position model. The record is from RNAcentral.